RNAcentral lists this ribosomal RNA (406 nucleotides) under uncultured bacterium. Its description in RNAcentral is "partial 16S ribosomal RNA". It matches the Rfam family "Bacterial small subunit ribosomal RNA", at positions 30 to 526 of the family's 1533-position model. The record is from RNAcentral.
AUUGAACGCUGGCGGCAGGCCUAACACAUGCAAGUCGAGCGAGCGGCGGACGGGUGUGUAAUGUCUGGGAAACUGCCUGAUGGAGGGGGAUAACUACUGUAAACGGUAGCUAAUACCGCAUACCAUCAGAUGUGCCCAGAUGGGAUUAGCUGUUAGGUGGGGUAACGGCUCACCUAGGCGACGAUCCCUAUCUGGUCUGAGAGGUUGACCAGCCACACUGGAACUGAGAAACGGUCCAGACUCCUAAGGGAGGCAGCAGUGGGGAAUAUUGCACAAUGGGCGAAAGCCUGAUGCAGCCAUGCCGCGUGUGUGAAGAAGGCCUUCGGGUUGUAAAGCACUUUCAGCGGGGAGGCGUUACCCGCAGAAGAAGCACCGGCUAACUCCGUGCCAGCAGCCGCGGUAAUAC